Molecule: ribosomal RNA, 497 nt
Filed under: uncultured bacterium
Lineage: Bacteria
Description: partial 16S ribosomal RNA
Rfam family: Bacterial small subunit ribosomal RNA
Source: RNAcentral
GAUGAACGCUGGCGGCGUGCCUAAUACAUGCAAGUCGAGCGAACGGACGAGAAGCUUGCUUCUCUGAUGUUAGCGGCGGACGGGUGAGUAACACGUGGAUAACCUACCUAUAAGACUGGGAUAACUUCGGGAAACCGGAGCUAAUACCGGAUAAUAUUUUGAACCGCAUGGUUCAAAAGUGAAAGACGGUCUUGCUGUCACUUAUAGAUGGAUCCGCGCUGCAUUAGCUAGUUGGUAAGGUAACGGCUUACCAAGGCAACGAUGCAUAGCCGACCUGAGAGGGUGAUCGGCCAAACUGGAACUGAGAAACCGUCCAGACUCCUACGGGAGGGAACAGUAGGGAAUCUUCCGCAAUGGGCGAAAGCCUGACGGAGCAACGCCGCGUGAGUGAUGAAGGUCUUCGGAUCGUAAAACUCUGUUAUUAGGGAAGAACAUAUGUGUAAGUAACUGUGCACAGCUUGACGGUAACUAAUCAGAAAGCCACGGCUAACUACGUG